This is a long non-coding RNA of Equus quagga, 1170 nucleotides long. RefSeq lists it as uncharacterized. The record is from RefSeq and is a predicted model, not a curated record. The transcript has 3 exons. Lineage: Eukaryota; Metazoa; Chordata; Mammalia; Perissodactyla; Equidae.
GCUGAAACUCGAAGCUAAACAUGUGAGAUUACAAAGCAGUCCGUCCGCUUAUUCAAGAGACCUGCAGCUUUUACUGUGUGUACUACCAAGCAAUGAAAAUGAUUAGUAGAUGGUAAUUUGGGCUAAGAGAUUUACCAUCUCAUCAGGCAGAGCUGACUUGAUUUCCAGACAUGUUAUCAUCUCUUUUGGGAACUAGGUUAAUAUAUGUGACACACAAGGACCCAGACCUAGAAACAGACACUUGGUAUACAACUCAUGUAAAACAGCUAUGAAUAUUUUUUGGUGGCUACAUUGAGAUGUGCUCAAGAAUAUACAUAUUGGACUGCAUAUCACGCAAUUUAUUCUGCUCUUACUGACAGUUUGCAAACAAAAACUCAAAACAAGAUGCAACCGUGUGCAGCUCCCGAACUGUAGGUUCUGAUUUUGGCAUCCGUGAGUGCUGGAGGAAGGGGACCACAGCUGAAGAGAUGUGCUUUUGCUCGUCUUACUGUGAAAUAUAAUCUGGGCAUUUGUUUGAUGGAUUUCAUGAAAUAUGGAAGAAAUCCACACUAAGGGUUUUUCACCUGAUUGCCUUUAUUUUUGCCCCACCUUGGUAAUGAUAAAGAGAAGUGAAAAUAACCUGGAGUUGGUGAUCGUAGUGAUGGAAGUUCACCAUAUUCAGGGAGAGUCGUUAAGAAUGAAGUGCGGAAGUGAGCAAUGGUGGCGAACUUCAUAUUUUGGGUGGGAGAACCCUCUCUGUGGCUGCAUCUUCAAAGAAAAACGAGUAUCACGGGCCAAAAGAAAAGGAAGAAGGCCAUGGAUUACAUGGAAAUCAGUGUUAUUUGAUAGGAUUUUUAAAACAGGAGACUGAUGUAGAAAUAUGCUAUUUUUCAUGCUGUCACUCUGGGGUAGAGUUGAGAGUAAAUAUCAUGAGAUUAAAAAAAGAAAGAAAAUCAUUGAAAAUUUAUCUAUGUUAUGGAGUAAGCUAUUCACCUAAAGCUCAUUUUAAUUCCAGCAAAUGUGAUAAGUUGCUACUUAAAGUAGCAUAUUGUGUACAGAUCUUUUACUUAAUGCUUGGCCCUAUCUAGAAAAAGAUCGUGAAUCAUCUUGGUAAGUUCUGUAUUCUACAAUGAGUCUAUUUUGAUAAAAUUCUAUAUUUUACAUGAAAACACAUUUCUAAUAAAAAUUCUC